This 497-nucleotide ribosomal RNA is filed under the name uncultured bacterium. RNAcentral's name for it is "partial 16S ribosomal RNA". It matches the Rfam family "Bacterial small subunit ribosomal RNA", at positions 28 to 507 of the family's 1533-position model. The record is from RNAcentral.
GACGAACGCUGGCGGCGUGCCUAAUACAUGCAAGUAGAACGCUGAAGAGAGGAGCUUGCUCUUCUUGGCUGAGUUGCGAACGGGUGAGUAACGCGUAGGUAACCUGCCUGGUAGCGGGGGAUAACUAUUGGAAACGAUAGCUAAUACCGCAUAAAAUGGAUUAUCGCAUGAUAAUCCAUUGAAAGGUGCAAAUGCAUCACUACCAGAUGGACCUGCGUUGUAUUAGCUAGUUGGUGGGGUAACGGCUCACCAAGGCGACGAUACAUAGCCGACCUGAGAGGGUGAUCGGCCACACUGGGACUGAGACACGGCCCAGACUCCUACGGGAGGCAGCAGUAGGGAAUCUUCGGCAAUGGACGGAAGUCUGACCGAGCAACGCCGCGGGAGUGAAGAAGGUUUUCGGAUCGUAAAGCUCUGUUGUAAGAGAAGAACGAGUGUGAGAGUGGAAAGUUCACACUGUGACGGUAUCUUACCAGAAAGGGACGGCUAACUACGUG